CUUCACCGACCCCAGCCGCAACGGCCGGCCCUCCGGCCGGUCCUGGCCGUACGUGGCGAGCAGCGCCUGCGCCUC
This is a non-coding RNA of Streptomyces sp., 75 nucleotides long. It matches the Rfam family "ASpks TB sRNA". The record is from Rfam. NCBI's taxonomy places the organism in Bacteria, Bacillati, Actinomycetota, Actinomycetes, Kitasatosporales, Streptomycetaceae.